This 248-nucleotide ribosomal RNA is filed under the name uncultured bacterium. RNAcentral's name for it is "partial 16S ribosomal RNA". It matches the Rfam family "Bacterial small subunit ribosomal RNA", at positions 524 to 772 of the family's 1533-position model. The record is from RNAcentral.
UACGUAGGGUGCAAGCGUUGUCCGGAAUUAUUGGGCGUAAAGAGCUCGUAGGCGGUCUGUCGCGUCUGCUGUGAAAACUCAGGGCUUAACCCUGAGCUUGCAGUGGGUACGGGCAGACUAGAGUGCGGUAGGGGAGAUUGGAAUUCCUGGUGUAGCGGUGGAAUGCGCAGAUAUCAGGAGGAACACCGGUGGCGAAGGCGGCUCACUGGCUCGUAACUGACGCUCAUGCACGACAGCGUGGGAGCAAC